AGCCAAUGAUGAAUUCUAUAUUAUUUUCUGACACCUCGUAUGAAAACUGCUUGCAGUUGGUGAUUUCAGACAUGAACUGAGGCUU
Crotalus tigris (Tiger rattlesnake) is the source of this 85-nucleotide small nucleolar RNA. RefSeq annotates it as small nucleolar RNA SNORD60. Lineage: Eukaryota; Metazoa; Chordata; Lepidosauria; Squamata; Viperidae. The transcript has a single exon. The record is from RefSeq and is a predicted model, not a curated record.